CAAUAGCGUAUGCUAAUGUUGUUGCAGUUAAAAGCUCGUAGUUGGAUUUUUAAGGGUGUCUGCUUCUAGUGUCCUACGUGACUCUAAAGUUGCAGACUCCCCUUAUUUUGCCUCAGUGCUCGGUUGGGAUUCAUUUCUCGAUCGGGCUUCAGGGGCGUGUUUACUUUGAGAAAAUUAGAGUGUUCAAAACAGUCUUGUGAUUGUAUAUCAUAGCAUGGAAUAAUAACUGAUGACGUCGGUCAUUUUUUGUUGGUUCGGAUGGCUGAAGUAAUGAUUGAUAGAGUUAGUCGGAGGUAUUAGUAUUUUAUCGUUAGAGGUGAAAUUCAUGGAUCGGUAAAAGACUAACAACUGCGAAAGCAUUUAUCUAGGAUUUGCUCUUUGAUCAAGAACGAAAGUUGGGGGAUCGAAGAUGAUUAGAUACCAU
This 424-nucleotide ribosomal RNA is filed under the name uncultured eukaryote. Its description in RNAcentral is "bacterial SSU rRNA". It matches the Rfam family "Eukaryotic small subunit ribosomal RNA", at positions 592 to 1018 of the family's 1831-position model. The record is from RNAcentral.